AUUCCAUGAUGAGGACAUUCUAGGAUGUAGUCUUGAAAGCGCUCCCAUGCUUCUGGAACAGAUUCAUCAUUUUGUUGCUGAAAAACUUGUAAUCUUCCCACGGAGAGC
Molecule: small nucleolar RNA, 108 nt
Filed under: Sorghum bicolor (sorghum)
Lineage: Eukaryota; Viridiplantae; Streptophyta; Magnoliopsida; Poales; Poaceae
Description: Plant small nucleolar RNA R71
Rfam family: Plant small nucleolar RNA R71
About the family: R71 is a member of the C/D box family of snoRNAs containing the C (UGAUGA) and D (CUGA) box motifs. Multiple nearly identical copies of this snoRNA have been identified in Arabidopsis, and it is thought to function as a 2'-O-ribose methylation guide for 18S ribosomal RNA.
Source: Rfam by way of RNAcentral